Molecule: long non-coding RNA, 424 nt
Organism: Solanum pennellii
Lineage: Eukaryota; Viridiplantae; Streptophyta; Magnoliopsida; Solanales; Solanaceae
Exons: 3
Source: RefSeq, a predicted model, not a curated record
GAAGUUCAUUGACUCCCAAAUGUGUGCAAUGUCUUAUUUGUGUCCAAGAUUGGCUUAGACAAGAAACCAAGCCUAUUUGUGUUGAAGAAAGUUUGGAGUUUCUUGAAAAAAUUGAACUUGAGAUGGCAAAUAGUGGAAGAAACUCUUCCAUUGUUGAUCUAUGAUUGACUUGCAAGCGGUCCAAGGGUCAAGACAAUGAAGAAAUAAUUUUGUUGGCACGUGACUCUUGAAAGUUGAAAGUGAUCUCAUGGAAGAAAGUCAAGAAACUCAUUAUUGUUGUUUGUUAUUGUUGACAUUUGAAUUGAAAGUAAUCUCAUGGAAGAAGACAAGAAGUUUAAAAUACAUUGUUUGUUGCUUAUUAUUGUUUAUUAUGAGCUCAUGAAAGACUUUAUUGUUACUUGUUAGAUUGUUAUUAUGUUGUAUU